AAUUCCACUUCCCACACCAUGGUUUAUUAUAAAUAUAGCACUAAACCUCAAGCAUUCAGUCAUUAAUUCAUCAUUCUUCUUCUGCACGUCUUUAUUCUCUUCUCCUCUUUAAAAUAUUUCUCCAUAUUAUUAAGCCUUUUUAAGGCCUUGGAAUCGCAAUAAAGAAUCACGUUUUCAACAAUUUUAUUUUUCACGUUCAUCUUCAAAAGGUAGAAAUUAGUAUGCUGGACGGCGGUGGAUGGAUGCAUAUUGGACCAAUGGAUCUCCAUCAUGAAGUACUUUAAUUUUUAAAAACACUAGAAUAUUUAUUAACAGUUGAUUAUUAUUAUUUUUAAAUUUAGACUCAAUUGUGAGUCACGUCAUAACUUUCAAUUAGUCCUAUUUUUAUUAUUUGUUAGAACUACUUUUAUUAAUGUUUGAUAAAAGAUAUGAUUCCAAAUUGUUCUGCAUAUGUUAUUUAAUUUAAUUUACCUUUUG
Molecule: long non-coding RNA, 477 nt
Organism: Olea europaea var. sylvestris
Lineage: Eukaryota; Viridiplantae; Streptophyta; Magnoliopsida; Lamiales; Oleaceae
Exons: 2
Source: RefSeq, a predicted model, not a curated record